AUCGCUUCUCGGCCUUUUGGCUAAGAUCAUGUGCAGUAUCUGUUCUUAUCCGUUUAAUAUCUGAUACGUCCUUGAUGAGAGGACUUUAUACUAAAGGGAUUUUCGGGCAUGGGAGUUGGAUCCAGAGCUUGCUCCCUCUGCUCCACAUCAUCCUGAUACUGCAGUGCCUCCAGGAAUGGGUUUUUUU
Small nuclear RNA from Pogoniulus pusillus (Red-fronted tinkerbird), 187 nucleotides. RefSeq annotates it as U2 spliceosomal RNA. The transcript has a single exon. The record is from RefSeq and is a predicted model, not a curated record. Lineage: Eukaryota; Metazoa; Chordata; Aves; Piciformes; Lybiidae.